UGGGGAAUAUUGGGCAAUGGGGCGCAAGCCUGACCCAGCAACGCCGCGUGAAGGAAGAAGGCUUUCGGGUUGUAAACUUCUUUUGUCAGGGACGAGUAGAAGACGGUACCUGACGAAUAAGCCACGGCUAACUACGUGCCAGCAGCCGCGGUAAUACGUAGGGGGCAAGCGUUAUCCGGAUUUACUGGGUGUAAAGGGAGCGUAGGCGGCGGAGCAAGUCAGAAGUGAAAGCCCGGGGCUCAACCCCGGGACGGCUUUUGAAACUGCCCUGCUUGAUUUCAGGAGAGGUAAGCGGAAUUCCUAGUGUAGCGGUGAAAUGCGUAGAUAUUAGGAGGAACACCAGUGGCGAAGGCGGCUUACUGGACUGACAAUGACGCUGAGGCUCGAAAGCGUGGGGAGCAAACAGGAUUAGAUACCCUGGUAGU
Molecule: ribosomal RNA, 425 nt
Filed under: uncultured Coprococcus sp.
Lineage: Bacteria; Bacillati; Bacillota; Clostridia; Lachnospirales; Lachnospiraceae
Description: bacterial SSU rRNA
Rfam family: Bacterial small subunit ribosomal RNA
Source: RNAcentral